Molecule: ribosomal RNA, 452 nt
Filed under: uncultured Porphyromonas sp.
Lineage: Bacteria; Pseudomonadati; Bacteroidota; Bacteroidia; Bacteroidales; Porphyromonadaceae
Description: partial 16S ribosomal RNA
Rfam family: Bacterial small subunit ribosomal RNA
Source: RNAcentral
ACGGAAGGCAGCAGUGAGGAAUAUUGGUCAAUGGAGGCAACUCUGAACCAGCCAUCUCGCGUGAAGGAAUACGGCCCUAUGGGUCUUAAACUUCUUUUAUAGGGGGAUAAAGUGAGGCAUGUAUGCCUUUUUGUAGGUACCCUAUGAAUAAGCAUCGGCUAACUCCGUGCCAGCAGCCGCGGUAAUACGGAGGAUGCGAGCGUUAUCCGGAUUUAUUGGGUUUAAAGGGUGCGCAGGCGGCACGUUAAGUCAGCGGUGAAAUGUCGGGGCUUAACCCGGGCACUGCCGUUGAAACUGGCGAGCUUGAGUACGGAUGAAGUUGGCGGAAUGUGAUGUGUAGCGGUGAAAUGCUUAGAUAUGUCACAGAACACCGAUUGCGAAGGCGGCUGACUAAUCCGCAACUGACGCUCAGGCACGAAAGCGUGGGGAUCGAGCAGGAUUAGAUACUAUGA